Molecule: long non-coding RNA, 214 nt
Filed under: Olea europaea (common olive)
Lineage: Eukaryota; Viridiplantae; Streptophyta; Magnoliopsida; Lamiales; Oleaceae
Description: long non-coding RNA (OEUR_LNC013135)
Source: RNAcentral
GAAGAUAUUGGAAAAGAUAAGAGUGUGGAAAAAGUUUCGUGAAAAUAAAAAAAUCCGCUACAAGUCACCAGUUAAUGAUUGUCCACCAAUGUUUGAAGAAAUGCCCAAAUCAAGGAUGGAUUAACCACAAGGCAGAAAUAAUCAUCUGUUAGCCAAUGUAAAAGCAACUAUCGGCAUCACAAGGGGCGAAAAUGUCCAAUUCCAACUUUUGUCC